Tachysurus fulvidraco (yellow catfish) is the source of this 1490-nucleotide long non-coding RNA. RefSeq lists it as uncharacterized. The transcript is spliced from 2 exons. The record is from RefSeq and is a predicted model, not a curated record. NCBI's taxonomy places the organism in Eukaryota, Metazoa, Chordata, Actinopteri, Siluriformes, Bagridae.
UUUAGCCAAUCAAGUCUGUGCAUUUCUGAAGUAAACACUGCUAGUAAUGAUGGGAAGUCCGGUUCUUUUCCGCAAACCGGUUCUUUCGGACAGUUCAUUUUAAUGAACCAGUUCAAUAAUCCAGUUCAUGAUGUAAUUCACAAUGACAUCAUGACGUAAAUUCCUUCAUCCCACCUCUGCUGGCAGAUAAUAAUACAAUCAAUUUACCACAUUUGAAAAGUUCUUUGUAAUCAUAACUGUAGAUGAAUACGUUUCUUGCAUUUAAGUUUUGCAACUAAAACACCCAGUACAGGCAUUGAUGUGCAAACGUGGGUGUUUUACAUGUACAUGUCGUAAAGAUAUAAAGUUAAUAAACUAAUCUUCAUCAAAUUACAAAAACUUACAAAAAAAAGCAUAAUUUUGAAAUGUUUCUUUCGCUCCAUCAGUUGUUUCAAAAACUAAUGCAACUGAGUUAAAACACUCAUAUGUUGAUAAGACAUUAAAUCAUAACCUUUCCAUUUGUUGCUGUAUCAGUUCAGUGAUUUAUGCAGGUGUGACGUGCAAUAUCUUUUUAGGUUUGGUUUUUAUUUUAAUGGGGGGAUUCCGGGUCCGGAGACACGCCCACUGCUGCUGAGCUGCGCAUCAACAUGGAGCACACCUGUGACACAUAAUUAGUGCAGCAUGCUAGUGGUUUUAUAAAAAGCACAUUGGAGUGGGGCUGUUUAAUUUCUCUUCCGUGUGCAUCUUGUGUGGGCAGAAAAGGUCUUUUGGCUAUAUUUUCCUGUCGCUUUCCCCUGGUGCGGCCAAAGAGCGCUAGCUGCUGUUUCUAAUGGCUGUUUCUAGCUGCUGUUUCUAGUUGCUGUUUUAAGCUGCCGUUUUAUUACGGCUAUUUUCUUAGUUGCUGUUCUGAUUAUUGCUGUUUGUUUUUAUGAGCUGUUUUAAACUUGACUCAUUAUUGGGUUACAGUCGGCAUAGUGCGGACGUUGCAGCGGUGAACACUAUAUCUUGAAUACUGGGAUGAUACGUCAGUACUGCAUUGCUGUAUGUUUAUUCUGAGUACAAGUUUAUCGAAUUAACCGGUUUUGUAUUUCUUUCUUUCAAACAGUUUUGGUGCUCUUUCAAUUAAUCUGUUUUUACCGGUUAUCACUGGACUGUCAUUUGUAUUGUUUUCUUUUCUUUUGCGUCUUUUGUUUGAGUGUCUGUUUACCGCAUAUAUAUCCACCUCUGACUAUCGGACAACGAACUGUGAUUAGUGAGGCUUAACAGAGGGAGUGUAUGUUUGUCGUCCUUUUGGUUCAUCCCUUUUUUCCUUGGUUUAUCAGUGUUUAUUAUUAUGCACUGCUUUGUUGUGUGGUGUGUCCCUCUUUGUUAAGGCGGACCUAGUCUAGUUGUUUUCUCCAUUGUUGGUAACUAAUUGGUAAACUGUACACUUGUAUCUUAAUGUUUUUAGGAACAAAUGGUUUUCCUUUUAUCUUUUUUUUGUAAAAUAAAGUUGUACUCAUUUAUUGGAA